This 353-nucleotide unclassified non-coding RNA is filed under the name Vibrio splendidus. Its description in RNAcentral is "16S-23S ribosomal RNA intergenic spacer". Lineage: Bacteria; Pseudomonadati; Pseudomonadota; Gammaproteobacteria; Vibrionales; Vibrionaceae. The record is from RNAcentral.
UACGAAGAUACUUACGAUGAGUGUCCACACAGAUUGAUGGUUUAGAUUUAGUUAAAGCCAGAGCUUUAAUUAAUAACGUAAGUUAUUGAUUAAAGCUUUUUGCUUUAUGCUCUUUAACAAUUUGGAAAGCUGACUGAUUGAUUACUUACGAGUAAUUCAAUCAAAUUUAAAAGUUCUCAAUGUUUAUCUUUCAUUAGAUAAACACAACAAACACAUUCAAGUGUCUUGUAUUCGAAUCAAACGUUAGUUUGAUUCACAAUUGAGUCCGGCAAACAGUCAUCAAGAAUUAACCCUUCUUGAUGACAACCAAAAACCUUGGUUAGUUGCCAUACGCUAAGACCCUUUCGGGUUGU